CAACUACCCAGUGUUCCCAACGAAGAAAUAUUGAGUUUACUAAAAAAAUUCCACAGUAUAAAGUUUAUAAGUGAAGUUUAUGUGUACCUUUUCUGGCUGCUACACCAGAUAGGCUUGUUUGGGACAAUAUUUCGCAAAAAUUUCACCUUUUGGAAAUAAAAACAUUAGUGAAAGGUGGUUUUAUGAACAAAUUAAUUGUGGCCGAGUGUAUAAAUGAAGGCUUCGCUUCAUUUUUGGAAAUAGUCAGUGGAAGAAUAGUCUCUAUGGCUGAUAGUAUUUUUGAUAUUAGCGGUAUUUUUCUAGUAAACUCAAAAUUUCUCCGUUGGGAACACUGGGUAGUUGGUAUUGUCUCAAAACAAUAUGGCGACGGUGAAUAUGGUCAAUUCCUUGUUUUUUUAUUCUGUAUUUUCAUUUAUAACCAUUAGAAGUGAUAUUAUGUAUGCCUAGCAAGUGUUUUUUGUGUGGUUUCACUUAUAUUGUAGGAGGUGAAAUUAGUCUUCAUAGACUUCCAUCGAAUCAACUUGAACGAGAAAAAUGGUUGUAGAGAAUUUCUUGGAACCGACCGAUGUUGGAAAAAAAAAAUUUUUCUUUGCUCAAAUCACUUUCCUGAAGAUUGCUUCCGAUUAAUGAUACUAUGAAAGAGGCUUAUACCAGGAAGUUUGCCUUCUCCUUCUGAAAUCAAAUUGGAAAUACCUCUACUUCCAUUGAAUCAACUUGAACGAGAAAAAUGGUUGCAGAGAAUUUCUUGGAACCGACCGAUGUUGGAAAAAAAAAAUUUUUCUUUGCUCUCAAAUCACUUUCCUGAAGAUUGCUUCCGAUUAAUGAUACUAUGAAAGAGGCUUAUACCAGGAAGUUUGCCUUCUCCUUCUGAAAUCAAAUUGGAAAUACCUCUAAUCCAUCUGCUAUUGCGAAAUUCAAAGCACCAAAAGAACGUAUUUUCAAAUAAAAUGCCUCACACUCAUGCAGCCUUCAAUUGUACAGCGAGAUUAGAAAAAAGCCAAAAGUUGAAAUUUCUUUCUUCACAGUUUUCCAAAGGAUGACAAAUUAAGGGAACAGUGGAUGAAAGCUGAAGAAGAAUUGAUUUCAACCCUUUUUCUUUGUUGAAAAUAUGCAGCAACCGUUUUCAUCAACAUGAUUUAUUAAUAUUCAUGGUACAAAAACUCUGAAAAAAGAUGUUAUUCCUUCAGUUUUCAGUUUCUCCAAUUAUAUGCCUGAGAGAUUAAAUUAUGGAGAUAAAUGUCUUGAAGAUAAUAUUGAAGGUACAUUAAUAUUUUAUUUUUUAUGGAUGUGAAAUAUCUAUUUAUUUUCCGUCCCUUAUUUUAUUCAUUCAUAUAAAUAAUUAUUGCAAAAGAAAUUGAACAGGAUCAGCCAGAGACAAAACAGCAAGAGAUGGGGCAACCAGAGAUGGUACAACUGUUUAUAAUAUCAAAAUCCUCUGCUGCUGCCAUGGAAGAUUUUCCCCCCAGAUUGAAUACUAAUAUUAGAAAUACUAGAAAUUAGAAACCUGGGAAUGAGGAUUUCAAAGAAUGGAACACUAGACGAAGUAAUAUCUGAGAGAAACAUCCAAAGAAAACCAAUAAUCUCAAUGUUAAAUAGGAUAUUAUCGAUUAAAAACAUAAAUGUGAAUAAUAAGAAAAAAUUUACUCAAUAGUUAGGAGCAUAAUAACUUACAGCUCUAAAGUGGACAGCAGCUGGAAAGUCUGAAAGGGACAUGAUACCAAAUGAUACAAUAAAACAUAGAAUGGAAAUAAGACAUGAUAUUAUUGAUCUUAAGAACACAACAGUUGGUUUGGUACAGACAAGUCCAUAAAUACUUAUGAUACUAGGUGUGAUUUAAACAAUAAUAAUUUUGAAAUUUUCAGUUUUUUAGAUUGCCAUACUAAAAAUAAUGAGGAACAUAUUCUGUGCCGUGGCUUAAAAAUUCAUCUUUAGAGAAGCUCAUUCACUGAAAGGCUGAAAAUGGGAAAAAUUAAUGUAUCAUAACUGAUCCUUGGAGAGAUAAGGAGAAGAAGAUCCAUAAAUUUCAAGAUUUGGAGGAGUUUAAAACUAAGAAGAGGAAGAGCUCAAUCCUGAUAUUUUUUCAAUAUCCUGGAUAUUAAAUGAUUGGAAGAGUGAAUAUCGUCCUUAGUGGAGAGUGAGAAAUCCGACUGCGAAUAUGUUCUUCCUCAUGCGCUGAUAGGCUAGAGUCGGACCAUUUUUUAAAUCAUUUAUUGUAAUAAUGUAUUUCGAACAGCAAUAAAAACUUAAUGAAUACAAUUAAAUAAAUAAAUAAGUUUA
Molecule: long non-coding RNA, 2277 nt
Organism: Harmonia axyridis
Lineage: Eukaryota; Metazoa; Arthropoda; Insecta; Coleoptera; Coccinellidae
Exons: 7
Source: RefSeq, a predicted model, not a curated record